UACGUAGGGUGCGAGCGUUAAUCGGAAUUACUGGGCGUAAAGCGUGCGCAGGCGGUUGCUUAAGACCGAUGUGAAAUCCCCGGGCUUAACCUGGGAACUGCAUUGGUGACUGGCAGGCUAGAGUAUGGCAGAGGGGGGUAGAAUUCCACGUGUAGCAGUGAAAUGCGUAGAGAUGUGGAGGAAUACCGAUGGCGAAGGCAGCCCCCUGGGCCAAUACUGACGCUCAUGCACGAAAGCGUGGGGAGCAAACAGG
RNAcentral lists this ribosomal RNA (253 nucleotides) under uncultured bacterium. Its description in RNAcentral is "partial 16S ribosomal RNA". It matches the Rfam family "Bacterial small subunit ribosomal RNA", at positions 524 to 776 of the family's 1533-position model. The record is from RNAcentral.